This 30-nucleotide non-coding RNA is filed under the name Rattus norvegicus (Norway rat). Lineage: Eukaryota; Metazoa; Chordata; Mammalia; Rodentia; Muridae. The record is from RNAcentral.
UAUCAAUGUUGAUGACAUCAUUUCUUAAUC